AACGAACGCUGGCGGCAUGCCUAACACAUGCAAGUCGAACGAGACCUUCGGGUCUAGUGGCGCACGGGCGCGUAACGCGUGGGAACCUGCCCUUAGGUUCGGAAUAACUCCCCGAAAGGGGUGCUAAUACCGGAUAAUGUCUUCGGACCAAAGAUUUAUCGCCUUUGGAUGGGCCCGCGUUGGAUUAGCUAGUUGGUAGGGUAAAAGCCUACCAAGGCGACGAUCCAUAGCUGGUCUGAGAGGAUGAUCAGCCACACUGGGACUGAGACACGGCCCAGACUCCCACGGGAGGCAGCAGUGGGGAAUAUUGGACAAUGGGCGAAAGCCUGAUCCAGCAAUGCCGCGUGAGUGAUGAAGGCCUUAGGGUUGUAAAGCUCUUUUACCCGGGAUGAUAAUGACAGUACCGGGAGAAUAAGCUCCGGCUAACUCCGUG
Molecule: ribosomal RNA, 433 nt
Filed under: uncultured bacterium
Lineage: Bacteria
Description: partial 16S ribosomal RNA
Rfam family: Bacterial small subunit ribosomal RNA
Source: RNAcentral